Molecule: long non-coding RNA, 554 nt
Organism: Mandrillus leucophaeus (drill)
Lineage: Eukaryota; Metazoa; Chordata; Mammalia; Primates; Cercopithecidae
Exons: 3
Source: RefSeq, a predicted model, not a curated record
CUAGUAAAUGGAUGACAAGCCAUUAACAUUGAAAGAAGAAGAGCCAUCCAAAGGGUUGGGUCCUCAUCGCCCUUGCCUUGGAGAAAGCUCUAAAGAGAGGGAAGGAUGGUUUCCAGCAGUCCCUGAAGUGACUUUCCUCCUUUGUAGGAUCCAGUUACACCCAGCAGACUUCAGUUUGAAUAAACAGAACUGGAUGAACACACCUAGGGAAUCUUUGAGGCCAGCCUCAGUUUUUAACAUCCAGCUACAGGGAGGCUCUCACUCACCAGGAGAUUAACCCACUAGGCUGCCGAGUGAGAAGGGACAGAGCAGGCCCUGACGGGAGGCCUGGGAUGCAGGGGAAAUCAAAACAAGUCCACCUGCUUAAGGAGGACUGCUGCACUGUGACCUCGUCCUCCAGACAUCUGUGGCAAGUGUUUCCACAGCCACUGAUGUGGCACUGGGCCAUUGACAGCUGCCUUAUGAUAUUCUUUUUCACAAUUGUGUUUACACUAUUGUUUAACAACUUUGUAUAAUAAUCUCUUUUCACUCCAAAUAAACCUUAGUGCCUGGAA